GUGGGGAAUCUUCCGCAAUGGGCGAAAGUCUGACGGAGCAACGCCGCGUGAGUGAAGAAGGUUUUCGGAUCGUAAAGCUCUUUCGUUAGGGACGAACGUGCUCUUUGUGAAUAAUGAGGAGUAAUGACGGUACCUAAAUAAGAAGCCACGGCUAACUACGUGCCAGCAGCCGCGGUAAUACGUAGGUGGCAAGCGUUGUCCGGAAUUAUUGGGCGUAAAGCGCGCGCAGGCGGGAUAUCAAGUCUGUCUUAAAAGUGCGAGGCUCAACCUCGUGAGGGGACAGAAACUGGUAUUCUUGAGUGCCGGAGAGGAAAGUGGAAUUCCAAGUGUAGCGGUGAAAUGCGUAGAGAUUUGGAAGAACACCAGUGGCGAAGGCGACUUUCUGGACGAUGUCUGACGCUGAGGCGCGAAAGCUAGGGGAGCGAACGGGAUUAGAAACCCCGGUAGUCC
Molecule: ribosomal RNA, 450 nt
Filed under: uncultured bacterium
Lineage: Bacteria
Description: partial 16S ribosomal RNA
Rfam family: Bacterial small subunit ribosomal RNA
Source: RNAcentral